RNAcentral lists this ribosomal RNA (400 nucleotides) under phytoplankton environmental sample. RNAcentral's name for it is "partial small subunit ribosomal RNA". It matches the Rfam family "Eukaryotic small subunit ribosomal RNA", at positions 587 to 980 of the family's 1831-position model. The record is from RNAcentral.
AGCUCCAAUAGCGUAUAUUAAAGUUGUUGCAGUUAAAAAGCUCGUAGUUGGAUUUCUGGUCGGAUGCGCCUGGCCCGCCUGCGCAAGCGGGUGAGUGCCGGUUCGCGCGUCUACCAUCCUUCCAGAAAGCGUUGCUUUGCCCUUCACUGGGUGAGGCCGUGCUCUGGAACUUUUACUUUGAGAAAAUUAGAGUGUUCAAAGCAGGCAUUUUGCUGUGAAUACAUUAGCAUGGAAUAAUAAUAUAGGACUUUGGUUCUAUUUUGUUGGUUUCUAGGACUGAAGUAAUGAUUGAUAGGGAUAGUUGGGGGUGCUCGUAUUCAGCGGCCAGAGGUGAAAUUCUCAGAUUCGCUGAAGACGAACUUAUGCGAAAGCAUUCACCAAGGAUGUCUUCUUUAAUCAA